Molecule: ribosomal RNA, 1442 nt
Filed under: Lacticaseibacillus rhamnosus
Lineage: Bacteria; Bacillati; Bacillota; Bacilli; Lactobacillales; Lactobacillaceae
Description: bacterial SSU rRNA
Rfam family: Bacterial small subunit ribosomal RNA
Source: RNAcentral
CAUGCAAGUCGAACGAGUUCUGAUUAUUGAAAGGUGCUUGCAUCUUGAUUUAAUUUUGAACGAGUGGCGGACGGGUGAGUAACACGUGGGUAACCUGCCCUUAAGUGGGGGAUAACAUUUGGAAACAGAUGCUAAUACCGCAUAAAUCCAAGAACCGCAUGGUUCUUGGCUGAAAGAUGGCGUAAGCUAUCGCUUUUGGAUGGACCCGCGGCGUAUUAGCUAGUUGGUGAGGUAACGGCUCACCAAGGCAAUGAUACGUAGCCGAACUGAGAGGUUGAUCGGCCACAUUGGGACUGAGACACGGCCCAAACUCCUACGGGAGGCAGCAGUAGGGAAUCUUCCACAAUGGACGCAAGUCUGAUGGAGCAACGCCGCGUGAGUGAAGAAGGCUUUCGGGUCGUAAAACUCUGUUGUUGGAGAAGAAUGGUCGGCAGAGUAACUGUUGUCGGCGUGACGGUAUCCAACCAGAAAGCCACGGCUAACUACGUGCCAGCAGCCGCGGUAAUACGUAGGUGGCAAGCGUUAUCCGGAUUUAUUGGGCGUAAAGCGAGCGCAGGCGGUUUUUUAAGUCUGAUGUGAAAGCCCUCGGCUUAACCGAGGAAGUGCAUCGGAAACUGGGAAACUUGAGUGCAGAAGAGGACAGUGGAACUCCAUGUGUAGCGGUGAAAUGCGUAGAUAUAUGGAAGAACACCAGUGGCGAAGGCGGCUGUCUGGUCUGUAACUGACGCUGAGGCUCGAAAGCAUGGGUAGCGAACAGGAUUAGAUACCCUGGUAGUCCAUGCCGUAAACGAUGAAUGCUAGGUGUUGGAGGGUUUCCGCCCUUCAGUGCCGCAGCUAACGCAUUAAGCAUUCCGCCUGGGGAGUACGACCGCAAGGUUGAAACUCAAAGGAAUUGACGGGGGCCCGCACAAGCGGUGGAGCAUGUGGUUUAAUUCGAAGCAACGCGAAGAACCUUACCAGGUCUUGACAUCUUUUGAUCACCUGAGAGAUCAGGUUUCCCCUUCGGGGGCAAAAUGACAGGUGGUGCAUGGUUGUCGUCAGCUCGUGUCGUGAGAUGUUGGGUUAAGUCCCGCAACGAGCGCAACCCUUAUGACUAGUUGCCAGCAUUUAGUUGGGCACUCUAGUAAGACUGCCGGUGACAAACCGGAGGAAGGUGGGGAUGACGUCAAAUCAUCAUGCCCCUUAUGACCUGGGCUACACACGUGCUACAAUGGAUGGUACAACGAGUUGCGAGACCGCGAGGUCAAGCUAAUCUCUUAAAGCCAUUCUCAGUUCGGACUGUAGGCUGCAACUCGCCUACACGAAGUCGGAAUCGCUAGUAAUCGCGGAUCAGCACGCCGCGGUGAAUACGUUCCCGGGCCUUGUACACACCGCCCGUCACACCAUGAGAGUUUGUAACACCCGAAGCCGGUGGCGUAACCCUUUUAGGGAGCGAGCCGUCU